RNAcentral lists this long non-coding RNA (224 nucleotides) under Olea europaea (common olive). RNAcentral describes it as "long non-coding RNA (OEUR_LNC000917)". Lineage: Eukaryota; Viridiplantae; Streptophyta; Magnoliopsida; Lamiales; Oleaceae. The record is from RNAcentral.
GAUAACGUCCCUACCUUUCAUUUUUUGGUGGAUUACACCCUUACCUUUACAUUUUUUUGCGCAAAACGUCCUUCUGUCAACUUUCCGUUAAAAUGCUCCGUUAAAUCAAAAAGGUAAUUAGCACAAAAGGUCCCUACCUUUCAAAGUUAUUGUGCAAAACGUCCCUACCUUUUAUUUUUUAGCAUAAUUAGCAGAAAAUGUCCCUACCUUUCAAUAUUAUUGUG